UCCCUUGUGGCUCAGAUGGUAAAGCGUCUGCCUACAAUGCAGGAGACCUGGGUUCGAUCCCUGGAUCAGGAA
Molecule: transfer RNA, 72 nt
Filed under: Ovis aries (sheep)
Lineage: Eukaryota; Metazoa; Chordata; Mammalia; Artiodactyla; Bovidae
Rfam family: tRNA
About the family: Transfer RNA (tRNA) molecules are approximately 80 nucleotides in length. Their secondary structure includes four short double-helical elements and three loops (D, anti-codon, and T loops).
Source: Rfam by way of RNAcentral